UUUGGGGUGCAUUCGAUCUCGAUGAUGUUGGCAUUUAUGAUAAGGAGGAUAGCAAAGUUGUCAUUGCAUCUAGACAUCGUGGCAUUUGUCGUGAGAUGUGUGUUGAUCAUAUCAUCAAUGUACCUCGACUCUCAGAUGAUGAUGCUUGGAAUCUUUUUGAGGAAAGGUUGGGUCGGAAGUUGAAUUCAGAUUUUAAACCGUUAGCUCUCCAAGUCAUUAAGGAGUGUGAUAACUUGCCACUUUUGAUUGAUAAAGUGGCAAGAGCUUUUAGGAGGAAAGAUGAGAUCCUUUUGUGGGAGGCUGGAAAAUAAUGUAUAUAAUAAAUAUAUGAAGUAUGUAAUAUGUAUUUAGCUCUAACAUUUAAUUUAAAUUCUAAAUUGAAUAAAAUUAAAAACAUAUAUAGUACAUAAAAUAAUUUUUAAUUUUCAUGUAUAGCUUUAUUAUAUAACAUUAAAAUAAUUAAAAAUAAAAUAUAUUUAUUAAUAUAUAGUUAACGUUAAUUAUCUAUUAAGUAUAAUAUUUAAAAUAAAAUUUAAUUGGUCAUCAAUAAGGUUAUUUUAGAAUAUUUAAAAUUUCAUUAAGGGUAUUAUCGGAAAUUUCAUUAUUUCCUCUCAUUCCCGCUUUUAUAUAUAGUAUAGAUAUAGAUAUAGAUAUAGAUUUAUUUUUUCACUUAUAUAUUUGUAGUUUUAACAUUUAUUUUUGCCGUAUAAUACAGAACAGACAUGGCCGAGGUAGUUUCUGCAGCAGCUUCUGCAGGAGCAGUUGAAGUGUACAAAGAUGUGAGAAAUGCAGUUGCUUCUAUUGAUCAAGUAAGAGACUAUGAGAGAAGGCUAGAUAAAAAUUCUGAAAAACUAAAGGAUGAAGCAAAAAAGCUCUAUGCAAGGAAGGUUGAUUUAUUAGCCAAAAAAAAUAGAGACAGGACAAAGCAAACUACUGAAGAAUGCAAUUUGUGGAUUGGGAUGGUCAAGAAACUUGAAAAAGAUGUGCAAGCCCUCUUAACUGAAUAUGAAGAAGAAAAGAAACUUCAGUUUAGUUUGGCGCGUUUUCUUCAUCGUUCAGAUCUUAGCAAACGCAUCGUAGAAAAAUGCAUUGAACUGCAAAGUUGUUGGUCAGAAGGGAGCUUUUUUGCUACGGAUUUUAUGGUUGAGAGAUCGACGAGACCUAUCAUUAAAGCGAAGGCACCAAAAAUAGAAGACAAAUCAAUACUAUACGAUGUUUUUGUAGAGAUAUUGAACUUUUUAAGCACGAAGGAUGUAAGAAGAAUUGGACUUUGGGGAAAGGUAGGUGUUGGCAAAACAGCAAUCAUGCAGAAUCUAACUGAAAAUGAAAAAGUAUCUAAAUUGUUCGAUAUAGUCUUCUUUGUAACCUUAAGCGAUGAAGGGGAUAAAAAUAAGCUACAAGAAAAGAUUCAAUGUCAAAUAGCACAAGAACUAGAAGUGAAUUUAGAAGGGUUUACUGAAACUAAGAAAAUUGCUUCAAUAAUAUCAGAAAAGUUGGAAUCCACUAGAUAUCUACUUCUUUUAGAUGAUGUUUGGGGUGCAUUCGAUCUCGAUGAUGUUGGCAUUUAUGAUAAGGAGGAUAGCAAAGUUGUCAUUGCAUCUAGACAUCGUGGCAUUUGUCGUGAGAUGUGUGUUGAUCAUAUCAUCAAUGUACCUCGACUCUCAGAUGAUGAUGCUUGGAAUCUUUUUGAGGAAAGGUUGGGUCGGAAGUUGAAUUCAGAUUUUAAACCGUUAGCUCUCCAAGUCAUUAAGGAGUGUGAUAACUUGCCACUUUUGAUUGAUAAAGUGGCAAGAGCUUUUAGGAGGAAAGAUGAGAUCCUUUUGUGGGAGGCUG
RNAcentral lists this long non-coding RNA (1833 nucleotides) under Jatropha curcas. RNAcentral describes it as "long non-coding RNA (JCUR_LNC000754)". Lineage: Eukaryota; Viridiplantae; Streptophyta; Magnoliopsida; Malpighiales; Euphorbiaceae. The record is from RNAcentral.